This 253-nucleotide ribosomal RNA is filed under the name uncultured bacterium. RNAcentral describes it as "partial 16S ribosomal RNA". It matches the Rfam family "Bacterial small subunit ribosomal RNA", at positions 524 to 776 of the family's 1533-position model. The record is from RNAcentral.
UACGGGGGGUGCGAGCGUUGUCCGGAAUCACUGGGCGUAAAGGGCGCGUAGGUGGCGCGGGCAGUCAACGGUGAAAGUUCGGGGCUCAACCCCGAAUCGGCCGUCGAUACUCCCGGGCUUGAGCACUGUAGAGGCUAAUGGAAUUCCGGGUGUAGCGGUGGAAUGCGUAGAGAUCCGGAAGAACACCGGUGGCGAAGGCGGUUAGCUGGACAUUUCCUGACGCUGAGGCACGAAAGCCAGGGGAGCAAACGGG